GACGAACGCUGGCGGCGUGCCUAACACAUGCAAGUCGAGCGAGGUAUUUGCGGCUGAUUCCUUCGGGAAGAAGCUGCAAAUCACCUAGCGGCGGACGGGUGAGUAACGCGUGAGGAACCUACCUCCUACAAAGGGAUAGCCUCGGGAAACUGGGAUUAAUACCUUAUGACACUUAAGAGUCGCAUGACUUUUAAGUUAAAGCGUUUUAGCGGUAGGAGAUGGCCUCGCGUCCCAUUAGCUAGUUGGUGAGGUAACGGCUCACCAAGGCGACGAUGGGUAGCCGGCCUGAGAGGGUGGACGGCCACACUGGAACUGAGACACGGUCCAGACUCCUACGGGAGGCAGCAGUGGGGAAUAUUGCACAAUGGGCGGAAGCCUGAUGCAGCGACGCCGCGUGAGUGACGAAGGCCUUCGGGUCGUAAAACUCUGUCCUAAGGGACGAUAAUGACGGUACCUUAGGAGAAGCCCCGGCUAACUACGUGCCAGCAGCCGCGGUAAGAGUACUCU
Molecule: ribosomal RNA, 507 nt
Filed under: uncultured bacterium
Lineage: Bacteria
Description: bacterial SSU rRNA
Rfam family: Bacterial small subunit ribosomal RNA
Source: RNAcentral